RNAcentral lists this ribosomal RNA (253 nucleotides) under uncultured bacterium. Its description in RNAcentral is "partial 16S ribosomal RNA". It matches the Rfam family "Bacterial small subunit ribosomal RNA", at positions 524 to 776 of the family's 1533-position model. The record is from RNAcentral.
UACGUAGGGUCCGAGCGUUGUCCGGAGUUACUGGGCGUAAAGCGCGCGCAGGUGGCGCAGUUGGCCCGGCGUGAAAGCCCCCGGCUUAACCGGGGAGGGUCGUCGGGGACCGCUGCGCUUGAGGGCGGCAGGGGCUGGUGGAAUGCCCGGUGUAGUGGUGAAAUGCGUAGAGAUCGGGCAGAACACCCGUGGCGAAGGCGGCCAGCUGGGCCGUUCCUGACACUGAGGCGCGAAGGCGUGGGGAGCGAACGGG